CUAAGAAUAUUCCGCAAUGGACGGAAGUCUGACGGAGCGACGCCGCGUGGAUGACGAAGGCCGAAAGGUUGUAAAGUUCUUUUGCUGGGGAAGAAUAACCGCAGGAGGGAAUGCCUGUGGGAUGACAAGAACCGGCGAAUAAGCCCCGGCCAACUACGUGCCAGCAGCCGCGGUAACACGUAGGGGGCGAGCGUUGUUCGGAAUUACUGGGCGUAAAGGGCAUGUAGGCGGCUUGGAAAGCCUGGCGUGAAAGUCUGCAGCUUAACUGCAGGGGUGCGCUGGGAACUGCUGAGCUUGAGUGACGGAGAGGGAGCUGGAAUUCCUGGUGUAGGGGUGAAAUCUGUAGAUAUCAGGAAGAACACCGAUGGCGAAGGCAAGCUCCUGGCCGAUGACUGACGCUGAGGUGCGAAAGUGUGGGGAUCAAAACAGGAUUAGAUACCCUGGUAGUCCACACAGUCAACGAUGUGCACUAGGUGCU
RNAcentral lists this ribosomal RNA (478 nucleotides) under uncultured bacterium. Its description in RNAcentral is "partial 16S ribosomal RNA". It matches the Rfam family "Bacterial small subunit ribosomal RNA", at positions 355 to 824 of the family's 1533-position model. The record is from RNAcentral.